ACUUUUGCCUUAGAAUUAUAUUAAUGACUGUCUGGUAACUAUAUAUAAGACAUGCAAGAAUGUGAAAUAUAAAAACUUAUUUGGCCUUCAAUAUCUCAACCUUUUGAAUGUAUGUAACUUCUUUGUUCAGUUAUAUUUCGAAUUUGACAUUGUUUUUACAAACUACCAUUAUAAAUUUCCGGGAAAUGUUCUGCAUAAAACCCUUUGGGAAAGCACAUUGACGUAAUUUUCCAAACAUUUAUUGUAGCCCAAUAAUUUUAUAAGGUGUUGCAACAUGUAAUUGUAAAGACGUUACAGCCGAUUCAGUGAGUGUGUAGGCAAAUGUGGUAUUAUUGGUUAGAUUGCUUGCUACAUUGUAGCUGUAUGGUGAAGUCAUUAUUAGGUUAGGCAAACUACCCUCCAUUAAGAGUAGACUGGUCCGACAUAUAACCAAUUAAACUGCCUGUAGGACUAGGCUACUUCCACAGAAGGGUAGUAUACCUUACCUAAAAAUGACUUCACGGUUUAACAAGAAAGGUAACCAAUGAUAUUACCUUUGUCUACACACUCAAUGCAAUCGGCUGCAAUGAAAAUGCGGAGUUUGUAAGACUAGGCUUAACCAGCCCGUCGGCAGGAUCCAGCUUUCAAAGAUAUAUAAACACAAAUUUUGCAUAAGACUCAAACGUACUUCAAAUGUUUUUAUUAAUAAAUAACCACUAUAUCACCAGUUAAGUAGUCAAAGACACCAUUUAAUAUUUUUUUUUAAAAUUUCAUUUAUGGUUCAUUAGUUAUAUACAGGUAAUAUAAACCGCUUUCAGUAUUUUAUACAGCGUGCAGCACGCUUUAUAUUUUAAAGAGUCAACAAUUUUGUGUGUUUACAGAAUCGUAAAUAGUUAUGAUUAUUUUUAAAAGAUGACAAAUUGCUCUAUUCUAUGAAAUAUAUAGCUUUCGGAAAUUCCAUAUUCUCGGCAUCCUGUAAAAUAGUUCAUGAACAGUAAUAAUUGUUCUGCAUUAAAAGAAAAGAAAGUUGCACUCUUGAUUUUAACUUUUUUUUGGCCACACAAAACUGAUUUUACAAAACAUUCUACCUCGGAAAUAAUGGAUUUCGCUUGAUUAUGAUUAGACCAAAGGUUUAUAUUUUGUAAUCACUUGUAUGGUGGGCAAGGAAAUUAUUCAUUAGCUUAAAAAGAAUAAUCCUAGCUAUAUCCAAACUUGUAAUUUUGAUCAAGUAGGCCCUAUAUCUCUAGCUUACGUUUUUGCCUAGUGCAGAUAAAAGUAUUUUGCCGCAGAAUUGUUUUUAUUAACUAUCCGGUAAUGGUUGGGUUUGGUAUCCGACAUCAAGUUGAGAACUACUUUAGAAGAAAAAAUUAAGCAGAACAACACCCUGGAUUUUUUCUACUGUAAACCUCUGCUAUCAAGCUUCCCUUUGCACCUAUAGUCGUGCAACUGACAUCGAAAAAGACGCUUAGUUAACGAGUUUAAUGGUCCGGAAUAACACACAGCUGUAAAUUGUUUUAAAUGAUAGAAUAAUAUCUAUAUUUUAAUUUCCGUCGGGUCGUAAAAAGUUUCCAUGGUCACAUUUUUGUAUUUUAUCCCUUUAAUGGGGGUACCCCUCAAUUUACGGUUUUGAGUAGUUGCCUUAAAAUCCAAAAAUAUUUUUUUUUGUUAAAUUUCCCGCUAUUUUCGUAAAUAUUUUCUAUGCACAUAUCAUCAAGGAUCAUCGGAAUGAUAAAGACAUAAAUAUAAUACCAUCCCCAAGUAAAACUUUCAGACUUAAAGUUGGCUGUUUUUUAGAUAGAAAUGUAACGCUCCUUUUCUUUGAAAACGAGAAAACAUAUGAUUCAAAAACAGUAUUUGACAUUUUAGAGGACAAAACAUAUUAUUGCGAUACUGCAUGCAAAUUUUGUUGGGCAAAUUCCAAACAAUUUUGUCAAAAACUCAAAAAUAAAAACAUCAUUUGUACCUUUUUUAAUUACGAAACUUGUCUAUCCGUCAAUCAGCUCCACAAUUUAUUUUUUCCUUCACAAUCAAUUUGAUAGUUUCGAUGUGAUUAUGAAGAUUUUGUAGGAUAAGUUUAUUUAUUUUUGAGUGAUUUGAAUAUAUAUAGUAGUUCUUUCGUGUAUUUUCUGUAAAUAAGUUAUAUUUGUGUUAAUAAAAUUUUGACUUUUCAUAAAAGUUAACCAAAUCCUUCGGAUAAGGGUUUUUCAGGAUGAUGACUAUAGUUGAUAUUGUGUGAAAAUACAUUGUAUGUAAAUGUUUAACCUCAGAGCAAUAAAUAUGCAUGCAAGUGAUCGGGGGAAAAGUACUAUUGCAGUUUCGCAGAGAUUUGGUGUGUGACAAGGUGAUGCUAAAACCAACUUCUCUUGAUAUUCUGCUGUCCUUGGGCGAAUCAUCAGUGAUGUUAUGAGACUUGCACAAGAAGGCAAAAUUGGUGCGUCUUUAAAUUAGAUUGAUUGAUUGAUUGUUGGUUGCUUAACGUCCAGUGGCAAAUAUUUCGUGCAUCUUCAGGACGAGAACAAGUUAAUAAUAAAAACAAUAGGUAGGUUUUGUCAUAAUAGAGGUCAUUCGGGAAUUGGUCGGGAAAAUUUAGACUGCCACUGGAAAAUGAUGGUAUAUUGGAUUGGGACAGAAUUUGCCGUUGCAACAGGCCACCUACGGACCCCUCAAAGAGUUGUUGCAAGGGUUUUUAACGUGCAGAGAACGUGGCACUCCCUUUACACGAGGCAUCGGAUUAAACGUCCCCAUUCUGACCGGACGUGACUGCGAACUUGAUACAUCCCGCACAGCCAAACGGUCGUCCCACUUCGUUUAACUGCCG
Molecule: long non-coding RNA, 2797 nt
Filed under: Mytilus galloprovincialis (Mediterranean mussel)
Lineage: Eukaryota; Metazoa; Mollusca; Bivalvia; Mytilida; Mytilidae
Source: RNAcentral